RNAcentral lists this long non-coding RNA (428 nucleotides) under Trifolium pratense (red clover). RNAcentral describes it as "long non-coding RNA (TPRA_LNC010542)". The record is from RNAcentral. Lineage: Eukaryota; Viridiplantae; Streptophyta; Magnoliopsida; Fabales; Fabaceae.
AUCGAUAUAGGGUGUUAUAAUUGGUAUCAGAGCAGGUCGAUUCAGUAUCGGACCUUGCCGUGGAUCGUUAAAAUUCAAUCCGAAGUAGUACGAACCCUUUGGAGUCUGGACUGUUUACGCUGAAAUCAUCGCGUGCUGAGCCUGAUCAACUCAGUAUCGUGUAUGGUAGGCAGGGUAUUACAGUUGAGAACCAAAGUGUACCAAGGAGGUCGAGUAGUAAGAACACAGUAGAAGCGCGAACUCAGAAGGAAGUAUGAGCGAAGAUCGUUAGAAGCAGAUGUUGGAACUGCAACAAUCAAUGCCACAAGAGUAAGUAACGUAACACCAACAAGUGGUGUGAAGAAUUUGAGAAUAGUACGUGGCGUAAUACCAGUAGUAAGGAUGAGUUAGGAGAUGCAUGAACCGGACGCACUCAACUGACGAUAGCA